ACACCAACAGAUGAGCAGAAAAGGGAAGGAGGUCUUUCAUGAAUGUGAUGAUGUGAUUGGAGAACUUUCAAGGAUUAACAAAACCAAAGAUUCCACAUGAAAGUGAAAUCAUAUGGUAUGAAAAGAUGCUCGAUAUCUCUAAUCAUCAGGGAAAUGCACAUCAAAAUCACGGUGAGAUAUCACCUCACACCUGUCAGAAUAGCUCAUAUCAAAAAGGUGAGAGAUAACAAGUGUUGACGAGGAUGUGGAGAAAAGGGAACCUUCGUGUACUGUUUGUGGGAAUGUAAAUUGGUGCGGCCACUGUGGAAAACAGUAUGGAGGUUCCUCAAAGAAACUGAAGGCAACAAAAACAGUAAUUCAGAAAGAUAUAUGCACCCCGAUGUUCAUAGCAGUACUAUUUAUAAUAGCCAAGACAUGGAAGCAGCCUAAGUGUCCAUCGAUGGAUGAAUGGAUAAAGAAGAUGUGAUACAUAAUGGACUGUUACUUGGCCAUAAAAAGAAUAAAAUCUUGCUAUCUGUGAUAACAUGGAUAGACUUAGGGGAUAUUAUGCUAAGUGAAAUAAGCCAGGCAGAGGAAGACUCAAUACCUUUGGACUGAUUUUCAGUAUAUCCCUCAGAAGAUACGAAAGCAUCUCAACGACACUCAAGGACACCACUUCUCCUUUGAACCAUGCCUCCUGGUUUGUUAAGAGCCUGCUAUUCUGCAUGAGAAGCUCCUACAAAAUUCAAGUGUGCAGAAGAACUUGUGUGAUUUGUUUUCUGUCCACCCAUUUCGCUUUCCCAAGGAGACAGGUUCACCCAUUGCCCUUGGGCUCUGGUGUUUGAAACUGUCAUAGAAGAGUGUGUGCCUUGUGCUGAAGCUGGCCAUCAUUAUGCCAAUUUGGAAGCAUGUAAACUGGCCUUAUAAAAUGUCCACCAGAACCGAUGGAGGCAAUGGACGGUGAUGACGUUUGAUUCUUUCCCUCCACACUCUCCUUCCACUUCUCUACAGUCUCCCCA
Neofelis nebulosa (Clouded leopard) is the source of this 998-nucleotide long non-coding RNA. RefSeq lists it as uncharacterized. NCBI's taxonomy places the organism in Eukaryota, Metazoa, Chordata, Mammalia, Carnivora, Felidae. The transcript is spliced from 3 exons. The record is from RefSeq and is a predicted model, not a curated record.